UUACACACGUAAAAACGCACAAGUUGUAACAAACCUGCAGCAGACAUGUAGCAAUGCUGUUCCAACAACUUGUCAACAGGAUGUGUUCGCACUGCUUGUUCCCAGCUUGUUGACAACUUGCUACAAGGUUGUUGAGCUCAACAGACUUGCUACAAGUUGUUCCAGUGACCAACAAUUUGUUAUCGUCCUGCAAUUCAACAAUUUGUCAACAAGUUGUGAGUGACAGCCUUGUAGCAACUUGAUGAAAUAACAGCAUUGUUACAACUUGUUGACAAGCUUGCUACAAGCCUGUUGCGAACACAUCUUGUUGACAAGUUGUGAGAUUU
Paramuricea clavata is the source of this 326-nucleotide non-coding RNA. Lineage: Eukaryota; Metazoa; Cnidaria; Anthozoa; Malacalcyonacea; Plexauridae. The record is from the annotation of a GenBank genome assembly.